RNAcentral lists this ribosomal RNA (239 nucleotides) under uncultured bacterium. RNAcentral's name for it is "partial 16S ribosomal RNA". It matches the Rfam family "Bacterial small subunit ribosomal RNA", at positions 15 to 236 of the family's 1533-position model. The record is from RNAcentral.
GAUCAUGGCUCAGGAUGAACGCUAGCGGCGUGCUUAACACAUGCAAGUCGAGCGAAGCACUUAAGUUUGAUUCUUCGGAUGAAGACUUCUGUGACUGAGCGGCGGACGGGUGAGUAACGCGUGGGUAACCUGCCUCAUACAGGGGGAUAACAGUUAGAAAUGACUGCUAAUACCGCAUAAGACCACGGUACCGCAUGGUACAGUGGUAAAAACUCCGGUGGUAUGAGAUGGACCCGCGU